RNAcentral lists this unclassified non-coding RNA (235 nucleotides) under Hevea brasiliensis (rubber tree). Lineage: Eukaryota; Viridiplantae; Streptophyta; Magnoliopsida; Malpighiales; Euphorbiaceae. The record is from RNAcentral.
CUUCAAUAACAAAGAACCAAAAUAUAAAGAUGUAAACAGGGGACGACGGAGAAGAGAAGGAGAAUAUGACGACAACAACAACAACAUCUAAUGAAGUUCUGCAACAUUACCAAAGCCCAAAUACCAAAAUUGAAAAAAAAAAUCAUCCAAACCCAUCAAAUGAAAAAAUCGACAAAAACUAAAAUGAGAACAAAGAAAGAAAGAAAGCGGAAUGGCAUACCUAGGGUGACAUGAG